ACACACGCAAAGGACCAAGUAAGUCACAAUGUUGGCGCUCUUACUUCUUGUGACUGUGGCCCUAGCAUCUGCUCACCAUUCUGGUGAGCACUUUGAAGGUGAGAAGGUUUUCCGUGUCAAUGUUGAAGAUGAAAAUCACAUCAGCUUACUCCACGAGUUGGCCAGCACCACCCAGAUUGACUUCUGGAAACCAGAUUCUGUCACACAGAUUAAACCUCACAGUACAGUUGACUUCCGUGUUAAAGCAGAAGAUAUUUUUACUGUGGAAGAUUUUCUGAAGCAACAUGAACUACAAUAUGAGGUAUUGAUAAGCAACCUGAGAUCUGUGUUAGAAGGCCAGUUUGACAGCCAGGUCCGUGCCACUGGACACAGUUAUGAGAAGUACAACAAAUGGGAAACGAUAGAGGCUUGGACUCAACAAGUCGCCACUGAGAAUCCAGGCCUCAUCUCUCGCAGAGCCAUCGGAACCACAUUUGAAGGACGCACUAUGUAUCUCCUCAAGGUUGGCAAAGCUAGACCACAUAAGCCUGCCAUUUUCAUGGACUGUGGUUUCCAUGCCAGAGAGUGGAUUUCCCCUGCAUUCUGCCAAUGGUUUGUGAGAGAGGCUAUUCGCACCUAUGGACAUGAGACCCACAUGACAGAACUUCUCAACAUGUUAGACUUUUAUGUCUUGCCUGUGGUCAAUAUUGAUGGCUAUAUCUACACCUGGACCAAGAACCGAAUGUGGAGAAAGACUCGCUCCACCCAGAUUGGAACCACCUGCAUUGGCACAGACCCCAACAGAAAUUUUGAUGCUGGUUGGUGCAAAGUCGGAGCCUCUCGAAAGCCCUGUGAUGACACUUACUGUGGACCCGCUGCAGAGUCCGAAAGAGAGACCAAGGCCCUGGCUAAUUUCAUCCGCAGCAACCUCUCUUCCAUCAAAGCAUAUGUGACAAUCCACUCAUACUCCCAAAUGAUGCUCUAUCCUUACUCCUAUGAUUAUAAACUCACAGAGAACAAUGCUGAGUUGAAUGCCCUGGCUAAAGCUACCGUAAAAGAACUUGCCACACUGUAUGGCACCAAGUACACAUAUGGCCCAGGAGCUACAACAAUCUAAGUCACAUCUUGCCUCUAUCCUGGCACCUCCAGAGUACAGCCCGUGGCCUGCUGCCCAGUGAGGGCUGUACAACUGUUGACGGAAUAAACAGAUCAAAGAAUGAAUUAAUGAAUUAAUCAAUGGAUGAAUGAACAAAUGAGCUAAUGACUGAAUAAAGAUAAAAUCCACGUGGCAGUAACAUCAUAACUGUUAUUGAAUGAAUAGCUGAAUAAAUGCCCAACCUAUGCCAGGCCAUAUGCUAGGCCCUGAGGAAACCAAUAUAAAGGCACAGCACUGCCCUCAAGAUGCUCCAAUUUCAUCAUUCAGCCCUGUUUCCUCGGGAUUUGGAGUUCUCGCCUAUCACCAGUCAUCAAGAAGCUUACCUUAUUUUCCCAGGACACAAAUACUCUUUUUCCAGAAACUAUAUAUAUUUUGUCAACAAAUUACAUAUGUUAUAGUCUACUAUAGCAUACAAGCACAGUGGGAAGUUUAUAUUAUAUUAUAAAUUACAUACUUCCUGGAGUAUGAAACAUGUCAUUCCCACUAUAAUCAAGCGUAAAGAUCCUGCUGCUGGGGGCUCUGAUGACUGGGCUUAUGACCA
This is an RNA transcript of Lynx canadensis (Canada lynx), 1676 nucleotides long. It is a transcript of the gene named carboxypeptidase B1, with no coding region annotated. Lineage: Eukaryota; Metazoa; Chordata; Mammalia; Carnivora; Felidae. The record is from RefSeq and is a predicted model, not a curated record. The transcript is spliced from 12 exons.